This 75-nucleotide transfer RNA is filed under the name bacterium. Its description in RNAcentral is "tRNA-Arg". It matches the Rfam family "tRNA". From Rfam's summary of the family: Transfer RNA (tRNA) molecules are approximately 80 nucleotides in length. Their secondary structure includes four short double-helical elements and three loops (D, anti-codon, and T loops). The record is from RNAcentral.
GCCCUUGUAGUCCAAUGGAUAAGACACCUCCCUCCGGAGGAGGCAAUGGCUGUUCGACUCAGCCCAAGGGCACCA